AUAAGGUUGCCUUUGUUGAAGUGGAACAUAAGGUUGCAUGUUCUGUUGAUACCUAUUGGAGGAUGAAUCAUGAUAAUUCUGGUAUGGUCUAUUUCCUCCAAACGUGUUCGCAGCAAAAGCUUGGGAUGAGUUUUCCACAUUAGUUUCCAUCAAGCUAGGACAUUCAUCAGUGUAGUGAUCAGUUGAAAUGCAAAUUCCACACUUCUUAGCAAUUUGUGGAGUGGAGGUUUUAAACAAACUUGCAAUCUUGUCGAGUUUGCUUUCUAAGUUAUUCAAUCUUUCAUCUAUCCUCCUUCCAU
Molecule: long non-coding RNA, 299 nt
Filed under: Vigna radiata
Lineage: Eukaryota; Viridiplantae; Streptophyta; Magnoliopsida; Fabales; Fabaceae
Description: long non-coding RNA (VRAD_LNC006668)
Source: RNAcentral